GAUGAAGAACGUAGCGAAAUGCGAUACUUGGUGUGAAUUGCAGAAUCCCGUGAACCAUCGAGUCUUUGAACGCAAGUUGCGCCCGAAGCCACUAGGCCGAGGGCACGCCUGCCUGGGCGUCACACGUCGUUCCCCCCCCAUCUACUCCUUCGGGAUUGCAGGGGGCGGAUGAUGGCCUCCCGUGCGCCUCGCCGCGCGGUUGGCAUAAAUACCAAGCCCUCGACGACGCACGCCACGACAAUCGGUGGUUGCGAAACCUCGGUUGCCCGUCGUGUGCGUUCGUCGCGCAUCGAGGGCUCGAAAAAAUGCUCGGCUCCGGCUCGGCUUUCAACGCGACCCCAGGUCAGGCGGGGUUACCCGCUGAAUUUAAGCAUAUCAAUAAGCGGAGGA
Molecule: unclassified non-coding RNA, 390 nt
Filed under: soil metagenome
Description: partial contains 5.8S ribosomal RNA, internal transcribed spacer 2, and large subunit ribosomal RNA
Rfam family: 5.8S ribosomal RNA (bases 1-122)
Source: RNAcentral